CUGCCCCCUCAGGGCUCCAGGCACAGGUGCCCCCCAGGCUAGGGGAGAGGAAGGGCUGGAGGCGCUGCCACAGCUCUGCUUCCCACCAACUGGACUGUCUGCCCAUCUUAACAUCCAGAGUUGUCUUCUCACCACCUAUGAGCUGGAAUGCCGCACCUUCCUUUUAAAAAUACUAAACUGAGCCGGAAACAAGGAAGCGACGUUAACACAGGGACCGCUCCCUGAACACCCCAUGGCUAAGCUGAGACAACAAACUGCAUCCUAUGCUCAGAUGUGGACUGAAGUGUCGAGGGAUGAAGUUGCAUUUCACAACGUCUGCAAUGUUCUUUCACUGGCUUUGAGGGGAGUCCACAAAUGCACGCAGAAAUGAAGCAGAUACAGCGAAACAUUAAUGUCCAUCAAUUCAGUGGUCUGUGUGGGUAACUCUUCUCUCAACUUUUCUGCCUUAUUCAAAUGCUCACAAUAAAAAAACUGGAAGACUCUG
Molecule: long non-coding RNA, 484 nt
Organism: Bubalus bubalis (water buffalo)
Lineage: Eukaryota; Metazoa; Chordata; Mammalia; Artiodactyla; Bovidae
Exons: 2
Source: RefSeq, a predicted model, not a curated record